AGAGUUUGAUCAUGGCUCAGAUUGAACGCUGGCGGUAUGCUUAAGACAUGCAAGUCGUGCGGUAGAAGGCUUCGGCCUUUGAGAGCGGCGGACGGGUGAGUAACACGUGGGAAUCUGCCUAUUAGUGGGGGACAGCCCAGCGAAAGCUGGAUUAAUACCGCAUACGCCCUACGGGGGAAAGCAGCAAUGCGCUAAUAGAUGAGCCCGCGUAAGAUUAGCUAGUUGGUAAGGUAAAGGCUUACCAAGGCGACGAUCUUUAGCUGGUCUGAGAGGAUGGCCAGCCACAUCGGGACUGAGACACGGCCCGGACUCCUACGGGAGGCAGCAGUCGGGAAUAUUGGACAAUGGGCGCAAGCCUGAUCCAGCAAUACCGCGUGUGUGAAGAAGGCCUGCGGGUUGUAAAGCACUUUCAGUUGGGAAGAUAAUGACGUUACCAACAGAAGAAGCACCGGCUAACUCCGUGCCAGCGGCCGCGGUAAUACGGAGGGUGCAAGCGUUAAUCGGAAUUACUGGGCGUAAAGCGUGCGUAGGCGGCCUGUUAAGUCAGAUGUGAAAGCCCCGGGCUUAACCUGGGAACUGCAUCUGAUACUGGGAGGCUAGAAUGUGGGAGAGGAGAGUGGAAUUUCCGGUGUAGCGGUGAAAUGCAUAGAGAUCGGAAGGAACACCAGUGGCGAAGGCGGCUCUCUGGACCAACAUUGACGCUGAGGCACGAAAGCGUGGGUAGCAAACAGGAUUAGAUACCCUGGUAGUCCACGCCGUAAACGAUGUCAACUAGCCGCCGGCCUCACUCUAGAGGUCGGUGGUGCAGCUAACGCAUUAAGUUGACCGCCUGGGGAGUACGGCCGCAAGGUUGAAACUCAAAGGAAUUGACGGGGGCCCGCACAAGCGGUGGAGCAUGUGGUUUAAUUCGAUGCAACGCGAAGAACCUUACCUGGUCUUGACAUGUAGUGAACUUAGCAGAAAUGUUUUGGUGCCUUCGGGAGCGCAGAGACAGGUGCUGCAUGGCUGUCGUCAGCUCGUGUCGUGAGAUGUUGGGUUAAGUCCCGCAACGAGCGCAACCCUUGUCCUUAGUUGCCAGCACGUAAUGGUGGGAACUCUAAGGAGACCGCCGGUGACAAACCGGAGGAAGGUGGGGACGACGUCAAGUCAUCAUGGCCCUUAUGACCAGGGCUACACACGUGCUACAAUGGUCGGUACAAAGGGUUGCCAAACCGCGAGGUGGAGCCAAUCCCAUAAAACCGAUCGUAGUCCGGAUUGGAGUCUGCAACUCGACUCCAUGAAGUCGGAAUCGCUAGUAAUCGUAGAUCAGCAUUGCUACGGUGAAUACGUUCCCGGGCCUUGUACACACCGCCCGUCACACCAUGGGAGUUUGUUGCACCAGAAGCAGGUAGCUUAACCGUAAGGAGGGCGCUUGCCACGGUGUGGCCGAUGACUGGGGUGAAGUCGUAACAAGGUAGCC
This 1459-nucleotide ribosomal RNA is filed under the name uncultured Gammaproteobacteria bacterium. Its description in RNAcentral is "uncultured gamma proteobacterium 16S ribosomal RNA". It matches the Rfam family "Bacterial small subunit ribosomal RNA". The record is from RNAcentral. Lineage: Bacteria; Pseudomonadati; Pseudomonadota; Gammaproteobacteria.